This 253-nucleotide ribosomal RNA is filed under the name uncultured bacterium. RNAcentral describes it as "partial 16S ribosomal RNA". It matches the Rfam family "Bacterial small subunit ribosomal RNA", at positions 524 to 776 of the family's 1533-position model. The record is from RNAcentral.
UACGAAGGGGGCUAGCGUUGCUCGGAUUGACUGGGCGUAAAGGGCGCGUAGGCGGUUUGCUUAGUCAGACGUGAAAUUCCUGGGCUUAACCUGGGGGCUGCGUUUGAUACAUGCAGGCUUGAGUUCGGAAGAGGGUCGUGGAAUUCCCAGUGUAGAGGUGAAAUUCGUAGAUAUUGGGAAGGACACCGGUGGCGAAGGCGGCGACCUGGUCCGAUACUGACGCUGAGGCGCGAAAGCGUGGGGAGCAAACAGG